RNAcentral lists this microRNA precursor (182 nucleotides) under Amborella trichopoda. Lineage: Eukaryota; Viridiplantae; Streptophyta; Magnoliopsida; Amborellales; Amborellaceae. The record is from RNAcentral.
UCAAUGAGGAGGCAAAGGUCUCACAUGAAGGGAUGGGGCACUUUUUGUAGCCAAGGAUGACUUGCCUAUGCUCUCAAGCAUAAGAGAGCUUACUUCCUUUUGGUAUUCUUCAGUUUCUAAGUGAGUCUUCCUUGGCUACUUAUUAUGCUUCACCCCUCAUGUCAGGCACAAGUCUUUCAUGA